CUGGAGGCAGGACAUAGCUGAACAUUCUGACAUCUAUUAUGAGCAACAUGCCUGUCCCUGCAGGGUCAUGGGGACUGACUGACUAAGGUCCCCUGAGAGGACAUAUUGCGCUCUUCUUCCCACACCAGGAAAGACUGAGACGUAACAAUGCUUGUGGAAGUGAGAGAACAACUGCUAGACAAUUUCCGUGAAGAUUCAGCGAGAGGCUACUUAAAAUGAUGUAACUCAUGGGCGACAGUAGCUUCCGUUCCCUUUGCUUGACACACACCAAACUGCGUACACUGAAGGGAAUCAGAUGUACGACUCUGAGAGCCACUCUCCAGUGAGCUUUGACCUCUACAAAGGACAAAAACUGACAUGGAGAGCUGCCAAUGUCGUUACUUCAGGAAGAAACCUAGGCAAGGAAUUCGUAACAGUCCUUUUAUGAACUGAAUCAGGUCAAGGAGUCACAUAUAGAAGAAAGACCUAUGGGAAGAAUUUAAUCACAUAUCUCAGCACACAGAUAAUCAUGAACCACUCCAAAUUCAUUUCCUCCUCCAUGGGAGGAGUGUGUUUUCUUACCUGGUAGCUUCUGGGCAUGGGCAGGUGACAAAGCUUGGCCAACAAAAUUGCAGCAGGUGUUGAAGUGUCCUCCAAAAACAGGAGCUCAGAGUCACUGGAAGUCCCCCACAUCCACCAGCUGUGGUGGACUCCUGCCCUCCUCCUUGAGAAGGUCACAUUGAAGGUCACCUCCCUUCUUUGGAAUCUUGAGAUGAGAAAACAGGUUAGGCCUUCCUGAACUAACACGUAUUUCAUAGUGUUAAGGGGAUCUUGUUGCCAUAAGUCAUUCUGGAAGAAGAGAAUAGUGAGGAGCUGUAGUGGUCUUGAAGUUCACCCUGCAGACCCUGACAUGCUCCUGCUCCCUGGGUAGGGGGUGCUCAUCAACCCCCAUUCUUAUCCCUGGAGUAAACCCUUACAGCAUCGUUCUUUGGGCAACAGAAUCCAAACUUCAAGUCUCUUUCUUUCCACGAAAAAGCAAAUGCAAUGUAAAACUACUUUCAGCCACUGGAAAUAAUGUUUUGGAAUUACUUGAAAAUAUGAGAUUUGUGUGCAAUGUCUUUUUUAGAGAUAACAAGGCAGAUGUCAAAAUAUAAAGUACAAUGAUUCCAAUGUUGAAAUUAGAACUAGCUUGUACUUUCUUGGUGUUUGCUUGAUUUUCCAUAUUAUAUAUAAUUUUUUUUCCAACAGAAAGUAACACUAAGGAUCACUCUGAAGGAUGAAACAUGAGAAAGCAUCCUGGAAGUCAGAGGCUAUGUGAUAAUCUUGGUGCAGACACUGCCGUGACUACAGUUCCUUUUUGAAUUGUCAAACAUGUUCAGUUUUAAAAUCGCUAUUUUAUGUUGUUACCUUUAAUUUUAGGCCAUCAUUUAAAAACAAAUGUGGUUCAUAACUUUAACACUCAAAUAACCAGAAUAAAAGCAGUUGGAGUACUUUGUAUGACUCAGAUUGUGCACUCCAGUGCUAAAGGCAGUUGGUUGGAGGCUGAUCCUCAUUUCACAGCCCGGUGGAAGAGCUGGGGAGGACUCUUCCUACCCUGUCAAAUGUAAGAAGGAAAUUCCCAGGUGGGUGAGCCUGCUUCCAUGUCCUCUGGACAGGGGACCAGGAAGCUGGGCAGAUGAUGUUUUGAGCAAAACCUCCUGGUCUAGGGUGGCUGGAGGCCAGAGCUCCUGUGCAAAGCCUGAAAAGCAUCUGUCUCAACCCAGCUGAGUCCUCUACACACAGCAUCCGCAGCAGGAGGGUGGUCUUGUCCAUCCACAUUUGUAAGGCUUUGCUCAGCUACAUUCUGGGAAUUCCCAAGGGCCAGGUCAUUUUAGUUCUUUGCUAAUUUAAGGCUUUUUUUCUAGUUUCUCUAUGCAGAUGGUCUUGAUCAGCCUGGGAAAGUGGUUACAUAAUGGGGCUCCCUUGUGUCUGACCCUGAGGUACAGCCAAUACAUUUCUGGAAGGCAGGCUCUCUCUCAGGAGCUGGGGGGUGUUUACUUUUCAGGGUUGCGGAAUGAGGGUUUCCAUAAAGAACAUGAGGUUAUCAAGCUUGACUUCUGAAUCAAUAGAGAUAUAAAUAAACAAGCCUGAAGACAAAACAGGAAGAACAAAUCCAGUCUUCACUGCAGCAGAUACCAUCUUCAUAAAUGUAUCUCACAUCGAAGCCCAGAAUUGCCUAGAUCACUCAGAAGUCACAAGUUAUUCAGUCCCUCAAAGAAUGUUGAGGUACAUACCCUCACUGUAGAAACUCAUGGUCAUGGUUUUUGUCUGUGUCCCCCAGGCCUCAUGAGUUUGAACUGUACAUUUGUUAUUCGUUCAAUGUCUAGCGCUUGGAUUGAUGGUGUCAGUGCUCCACCCACAAAGGGAUGGAGCCAGGAUGUGAUGUAAUGGCAGGAAGAAGGUGUCCCUUUCUCUUUGCGGUUCGAGCUUGCUGUUGGUGGCCGCCAUGAACUGCAGCCCAGCCAGGCCCGCCUGUCUUGGUUGGAGGCAACUAAGUGUGGACUGAAACCUCCAAAAACUUUAAGAAAUAAACCUUUCCUUUCCCAACUUUGGGCUUCAGGUAUUUUGUCUCAGCAACGAGCAUAAAGUAACUAAGACACUCAUCCAGACAGAGAAGAGAAAGGAGGGGCUGGGGUCUCGGAAGCCACCCCAGGGACAGGCAGGACCUCACUGCGAGGGUUAGUCCAUGAAGACAACAAGGUUCACGGUAGGGAGCCCACUAAUGACGGGCUGAGGGCCAGGCUGGCUGGAUGCACACUGCCUUUGCUGU
Molecule: long non-coding RNA, 2788 nt
Organism: Cavia porcellus (domestic guinea pig)
Lineage: Eukaryota; Metazoa; Chordata; Mammalia; Rodentia; Caviidae
Exons: 3
Source: RefSeq, a predicted model, not a curated record